Myotis lucifugus (little brown bat) is the source of this 106-nucleotide small nuclear RNA. NCBI's taxonomy places the organism in Eukaryota, Metazoa, Chordata, Mammalia, Chiroptera, Vespertilionidae. The record is from Ensembl.
GUGCUCGCUUCGGCAGCACAUAUACUAAAAUUGGAACGAUACAGAGAAGAUUAGCAUGGCCCCUGCACAAAUAUAUACCCUGAGGCUUAAGAUUAAGUGAUUUACU